CAAGGUAGCUGGACACCGUC
Molecule: non-coding RNA, 20 nt
Filed under: Rattus norvegicus (Norway rat)
Lineage: Eukaryota; Metazoa; Chordata; Mammalia; Rodentia; Muridae
Source: RNAcentral